Molecule: ribosomal RNA, 583 nt
Filed under: uncultured bacterium
Lineage: Bacteria
Description: partial 16S ribosomal RNA
Rfam family: Bacterial small subunit ribosomal RNA
Source: RNAcentral
UGGGGAAUUUUGGACAAUGGGCGAAAGCCUGAUCCAGCAAUGCCGCGUGUGUGAAGAAGGCCUUCGGGUUGUAAAGCACUUUUGUCCGGAAAGAAAUCCUUGGCUCUAAUACAGUCGGGGGAUGACGGUACCGGAAGAAUAAGCACCGGCUAACUACGUGCCAGCAGCCGCGGUAAUACGUAGGGUGCAAGCGUUAAUCGGAAUUACUGGGCGUAAAGCGUGCGCAGGCGGUUUGCUAAGACCGAUGUGAAAUCCCCGGGCUCAACCUGGGAACUGCAUUGGUGACUGGCAGGCUAGAGUAUGGCAGAGGGGGGUAGAAUUCCACGUGUAGCAGUGAAAUGCGUAGAGAUGUGGAGGAAUACCGAUGGCGAAGGCAGCCCCCUGGGCCAAUACUGACGCUCAUGCACGAAAGCGUGGGGAGCAAACAGGAUUAGAUACCCUGGUAGUCCACGCCCUAAACGAUGUCAACUAGUUGUUGGGGAUUCAUUUCCUUAGUAACGUAGCUAACGCGUGAAGUUGACCGCCUGGGGAGUACGGUCGCAAGAUUAAACUUAAUGAAUUGACGGGGUCAUAGCUGUUUCCU